AGGCAGCAGUGGGGAAUCUUAGACAAUGGGCGCAAGCCUGAUCCUAGCCAUGCCGCGUGAGUGAUGAAGGCCUUAGGGUCGUAAAGCUCUUUCGCCUGUGAUGAUAAUGACAGUACCAGGUAAAGAAACCCCGGCUAACUCCGUGCCAGCAGCCGCGGUAAUACGGAGGGGGYUAGCGUUGUUCGGAAUYACUGGGCGUAAAGCGCACGUAGGCGGAUUGGAAAGUUGGGGGUGAAAUCCCGGGGCUCAACCCCGGAACUGCCUCCAAAACUAUCAGUCUAGAGUUCGAGAGAGGUGAGUGGAAUUCCAAGUGUAGAGGUGAAAUUCGUAGAUAUUUGGAGGAACACCAGUGGCGAAGGCGGCUCACUGGCUCGAUACUGACGCUGAGGUGCGAAAGUGUGGGGAGCAAACAGGAUUAGAUACCCUGGUUAUUCACACCGUAAACGAUGAAUGCCAGUCGUCGGGCAGUAUACUGUUGGUGACGCACUAACGGAUUAACAUUCCGCCUGGGGAGUACGGUCGCAAGAUUAAAACUCAAA
Molecule: ribosomal RNA, 539 nt
Filed under: uncultured Alphaproteobacteria bacterium
Lineage: Bacteria; Pseudomonadati; Pseudomonadota; Alphaproteobacteria
Description: bacterial SSU rRNA
Rfam family: Bacterial small subunit ribosomal RNA
Source: RNAcentral